This 484-nucleotide ribosomal RNA is filed under the name uncultured bacterium. RNAcentral's name for it is "partial 16S ribosomal RNA". It matches the Rfam family "Bacterial small subunit ribosomal RNA", at positions 30 to 507 of the family's 1533-position model. The record is from RNAcentral.
AUUGAACGCUGGCGGCAGGCCUAACACAUGCAAGUCGAGCGGAUGAAGGGAGCUUGCUCCUGGAUUCAGCGGCGGACGGGUGAGUAAUGCCUAGGAAUCUGCCUGGUAGUGGGGGAUAACGUCCGGAAACGGGCGCUAAUACCGCAUACGUCCUGAGGGAGAAAGUGGGGGAUCUUCGGACCUCACGCUAUCAGAUGAGCCUAGGUCGGACUAGCUAGUUGGUGGGGUAAAGGCCUACCAAGGCGACGAUCCGUAACUGGUCUGAGAGGAUGAUCAGUCACACUGGAACUGAGACACGGUCCAGACGCCUACGGGAGGCAGCAGUGGGGAAUAUUGGACAAUGGGCGAAAGCCUGAUCCAGCCAUGCCGCGUGUGUGAAGAAGGUCUUCGGAUUGUAAAGCACUUUAAGUUGGGAGGAAGGGCAGUAAGUUAAUACCUUGCUGUUUUGACGGUACCAACAGAAUAAGCACCGGCUAACUUCGUG